Molecule: ribosomal RNA, 443 nt
Filed under: uncultured bacterium
Lineage: Bacteria
Description: partial 16S ribosomal RNA
Rfam family: Bacterial small subunit ribosomal RNA
Source: RNAcentral
CCUACGGGAGGCUGCAGUGGGGAAUAUUGGGCAAUGGGCGCAAGCCUGACCCAGCAACGCCGCGUGAAGGAAGAAGGCUUUCGGGUUGUAAACUUCUUUUAUCAGGGACGCAGCAAGUGACGGUACCUGAUGAAUAAGCCACGGCUAACUACGUGCCAGCAGCCGCGGUAAUACGUAGGUGGCGAGCGUUAUCCGGAUUUACUGGGUGUAAAGGGCUUGUAGGCGGGAAUGCAAGUCAGAUGUGAAAACUAUGGGCUCAACCCAUAGCCUGCAUUUGAAACUGUAUUUCUUGAGUGCUGGAGAGGCAAGCGGAAUGCCGGGUGUAGCGGUGAAAUGCGUAGAUAUACGGAGGAACACCAGUUGCGAAGGCAGAUUGCUGGACAUUAACUGACGCUGAUGCGCGAAAGCGUGGGGAGCAAACAGGAUUAGAUACCCCUGUAGUC